Molecule: long non-coding RNA, 2055 nt
Organism: Homo sapiens (human)
Lineage: Eukaryota; Metazoa; Chordata; Mammalia; Primates; Hominidae
Source: Ensembl
AGAGAGCUCAAGAGAGAAAGAAACCAAGGGAGGGGGUCAGGGUGAAGGGGUCUCAGGAGGUGACAUGGAAGACAACAGGGAGGACAGGUGGAGACCUCAGGGUGCCGGCUGAGUCCCAGGCCCUUCCUGAUGGGUUUGGGUGGAGCAGCUCUGCUGCUCCGGUCCCUCUAAGGAGGGCCUCAGCCUAGGGCGCAGCAGAGAAGGUGGGAUGGAGACUGCCAUCACCCGGAUGCCACCCUGACUCACUGUUGGUCCCCCUACAGGUCAGCAGCGGACUAAAGCCACAACCCCAGCCAGGGAACCCUUCCAAAACACAGAGGAGCCAUAUGAGAAUAUCAGGAAUGAAGGACAAAAUACAGAUCCCAAGCUAAAUCCCAAGGAAAAACUACAAAUAUGUAUCUUUCUGCAAGCCUUUCCAGAUCGAUCUGCCUCAUUCCAGGAUGGCCAGCACUCCUGAAGGGACUUCUGCAGAACAAUCUGGACAAUCUCCUCAAAUUCUGCAUUGGUAAGACUUGAUUUUUCCUGCAGAGACAAGGGUAGGGGAGGAAAACCACUUAUCUUUCCAUAGUUUUCCCCUCUGAACAGUCAGGGAAGCCUCCUUCAGAUGAGGCAGUAAGUUUAUAAGACGGAAGGCAUGCAGUCAGCAUACCUAAGGAGGCCAUGAACUAUAUCCCAGAUCUCCUGGGAAUAAAGGAGUCAAAGGAAAGAGAAAAGUGUAUAAUGUCUCUGUCUACUUCUAUCCCCACCUCUAACCCACCUCAUCCCAUUAUUUCCUGCUCAAUUCUUUCAUCAAAACAUUUUUGACCUCUUUGAGAAAAAAAAAAGGAAGCCCUCAAAAAGGAAUACAAACCUGAAACUCUAGGGUGAAUUUCCCCAGUGUGAAAAGACUCUGUUUGUCUAGCCUGAGCCAGGGGUAAGGUAUGAGAAAAUCUCCUACCAGAGCCCACCACUAUGACUGGUACCUUUUCUUUCUUCUCUGCUUGCUUGUUGAUUUGUGCCUUUCUUUUUUUCUCCUGUUCCCUGCUUGGAACAUUCUUCAUGGUUGCUUUUUCCUCUUUCUUCUUUAAACUGGCCUUUGGCAGGCUUAUCCUGGCCUCUGUCUCUGGGGAACUGAUCCCCGGGGUCUCCUCCUUAGGGGAGUUAGGGCUACAAGGUAACAGGCUGUAAGAUUUUUGUGCAGGUGGGGCAAAGAUUCUCUUUGGUCCCUUUCCACAUUCUGAAAGAAAUGUGAUCAAGUGGAAUUUAUGAAACAUACAGUCUAACAGAGAUUGCCAAACAUUACCCUUUGACUAGCCAUAACAGAAUGAUAUGGAGAGAGCUUUUAACAAAUUCAGAUUCCUGGGUCUCUCACUGCUUACUCCACUCCUCAGCCCUGAGAUGCUGAUGAGGUAGUUAGACAUGAGAGGCCUAGCAAUCUGUAAUUUUACAAGGCUAGUUGAUUCUGAUAUACUGCCAGGUUUGGGAACCACUAAGUCAAAGGUGAUAAAUAUAAGCAUGCAGGAAGCUGAGUUAUCCAAAUGUGAAACUGUAUAAUUUGCUCAUUUUUACUUUAGAUAAAAUGUUAUGGAAAAUUAGAGCAAAUUUUUAAAAACUAGUCAAAAUCUAUAAAUUAUUCACAGCUCUUAUGCCACCUCCUCAAUAAAAAUUAUAAUGAUCCUCCCAGGUAUAUCUUUCUUUGAGCUUCCUUAAUACUCUGCACAUAACUGGUGGCAUUUACCACAUUCAACUUUAUGAUAGGUAUUUAAAUGCCUUUUCUCUCCCUGAGUUUAUAUGUUCCUCGAGCAGGACUGUUUUUAAGUCAUAUUUAUUUCACUCAAAGCAUCUAGCAGAGCAGUAAUUUGACCUGAGUGGGCACAGAAUAUAGGGACCCGUACCAUCCUUUGGUGGAAAGGAUGUCCAAAAGGAGAAAAAUGAGAGAAAUGUAUGAAGCGAACCUCCCUCACUCUUGACUCACCUUCUUUAUUCUGCAACGUUGUCAUCAUUCAGCUUAGAAACUACGCUUUGUGUGCCUCUGUUAGAAAAAAGAAAUUAACUGCUAUGACUCUGAUUAAACAA